This 460-nucleotide ribosomal RNA is filed under the name uncultured bacterium. Its description in RNAcentral is "partial 16S ribosomal RNA". It matches the Rfam family "Bacterial small subunit ribosomal RNA", at positions 338 to 795 of the family's 1533-position model. The record is from RNAcentral.
CCUACGGGAGGCAGCAGUGAGGAAUAUUGGUCAAUGGACGAGAGUCUGAACCAGCCAAGUAGCGUGAAGGAUGACUGCCCUAUGGGUUGUAAACUUUUUUUAUAGAGGAAUAAAUCUAGGCACUUGUACCUUUUUGCAUUGACUUUAUGAAUAAGGAUCGGCUAAAUCCGUGCCAGCAGCCGCGGUAAUACGGAGGAUCCGAGCGUUACCCGGAUUUAUUUGGUUUAAAGGGAGCGUAGAUGGUUUGUUGAGUCAGUUGUGAAAGUUUGCGGCUCAACCGUAAAAUUGCAAUUGAUACUGGGAGGCUUGAGUACAGUUGAGGUAGGCAGAAUUCGUGGUGUAGCGGUGAAAUGCUUAGAGAUCACGAAGAACACCGAUUGCGAAGGCAGCCCACUAAACUGACACUGACAUUGAUGCUCGAAAGUGUGGGUAGCAAACAGGAUUAGAUACCCGUGUAGUC